AGUCGAGGGGUAUGGGCUUUCGGGCCCGAGACCGGCGCACGGGUGCGUAACGCGUAUGCAAUCUACCUUUUACAGCGGGAUAGCCCAGAGAAAUUUGGAUUAAUACCACAUAGUAUUAUAGGAUGGCAUCAUUUUAUAAUUAAAGUCACAACGGUAAAAGAUGAGCAUGCGUCCCAUUAGCUAGUUGGUAAGGUAACGGCUUACCAAGGCAACGAUGGGUAGGGGUCCUGAGAGGGAGAUCCCCCACACUGGUACUGAGACACGGACCAGACUCCUACGGGAGGCAGCAGUGAGGAAUAUUGGACAAUGGGCGCAAGCCUGAUCCAGCCAUGCCGCGUGCAGGAUGACGGUCCUAUGGAUUGUAAACUGCUUUUAUACAGGAAGAAACCCUUGCUCGUGAGCAAGAUUGACGGUACUGUAAGAAUAAGGAUCGGCUAACUCCGUGCCAGCAGCCGCGGUAAUACGGAGGAUCCAAGCGUUAUCCGGAAUCAUUGGGUUUAAAGGGUCCGUAGGCGGUUUAAUAAGUCAGUGGUGAAAGCCCAUCGCUCAACGGUGGAACGGCCAUUGAUACUGUUA
This 576-nucleotide ribosomal RNA is filed under the name uncultured Bacteroidota bacterium. RNAcentral describes it as "bacterial SSU rRNA". It matches the Rfam family "Bacterial small subunit ribosomal RNA", at positions 60 to 638 of the family's 1533-position model. The record is from RNAcentral. Lineage: Bacteria; Pseudomonadati; Bacteroidota.